GACGAACGCUGGCGGCGUGCUUAACACAUGCAAGUCGAACGGAAAGGCCCUGCUUGCAGGGUACUCGAGUGGCGAACGGGUGAGUAACACGUGGGUGAUCUGCCCUGCACUUCGGGAUAAGCCUGGGAAACUGGGUCUAAUACCGGAUAGGAGCCAUUUUUAGUGUGAUGGUUGGAAAGUUUUUUCGGUGUAGGAUGAGCUCGCGGCCUAUCAGCUUGUUGGUGGGGUAAUGGCCUACCAAGGCGGCGACGGGUAGCCGGCCUGUGAGGGUGGACGGCCACACUGGGACUGAGAGACGGCCCAGAUUCCGAAUGGAGGCAGAAGUGGGGAAUAUUGAACAAGGGGCGCAAGCCGGAUGCAGCGACGCCGCGUGGGGGAUGACGGCCUUCGGGUUGUAAACUCCUUGCGCUAGGGACGAAGCUUUUUGUGACGGUACCUAGAUAAGAAGCACCGGCUAACUACGUG
This 465-nucleotide ribosomal RNA is filed under the name uncultured bacterium. RNAcentral describes it as "partial 16S ribosomal RNA". It matches the Rfam family "Bacterial small subunit ribosomal RNA", at positions 28 to 507 of the family's 1533-position model. The record is from RNAcentral.